CCUACGGGGGGCAGCAGUGAGGAAUAUUGGUCAAUGGCCGUAAGGCUGAACCAGCCAAGUAGCGUGAAGGAAGAAGGAUCUAUGGUUUGUAAACUUCUUUUAUAGGGGAAUAAAGGUAUCCACGUGUGGCUAUUUGCAUGUACCCUAUGAAUAAGCAUCGGCUAACUCCGUGCCAGCAGCCGCGGUAAUACGGAGGAUGCGAGCGUUAUCCGGAUUUAUUGGGUUUAAAGGGUGCGUAGGUUGUUUGUUAAGUCAGCGGUGAAAGUUUGUGGCUCAACCAUAAAAUUGCCGUUGAAACUGGAAGACUUGAGUGUGUUUGAGGUAGGCGGAAUGCGUGGUGUAGCGGUGAAAUGCAUAGAUAUCACGCAGAACUCCGAUUGCGAAGGCAGCUUACUAAGCCAUAACUGACACUGAAGCACGAAAGCGUGGGGAUCAAACAGGAUUAGAUACCCCUGUAGUC
RNAcentral lists this ribosomal RNA (460 nucleotides) under uncultured bacterium. Its description in RNAcentral is "partial 16S ribosomal RNA". It matches the Rfam family "Bacterial small subunit ribosomal RNA", at positions 338 to 795 of the family's 1533-position model. The record is from RNAcentral.